ACUCCUACGGGAGGCAGCAGUGGGGAAUCUUGCGCAAUGGGCGAAAGCCUGACGCAGCAACGCCGCGUGGGGGAUGACGGCCUUCGGGUUGUAAACCUCUUUCGACAUCGAGGAAGCUUCUCUUGUUGGGGGAGUGACGGUAGGUGUAGAAGAAGCACCGGCUAACUACGUGCCAGCAGCCGCGGUAAUACGUAGAGUGCGAGCGUUGUCCGGAAUUAUUGGGCGUAAAGAGCUCGUAGGCGGUUUGUCGCGUCGGCCGUGAAAACCUGCCGCUUAACGGUGGGCGUGCGGUCGAUACGGGCAGACUUGAGUUCGGCAGGGGAGACUGGAAUUCCUGGUGUAGCGGUGAAAUGCGCAGAUAUCAGGAGGAACACCGGUGGCGAAGGCGGGUCUCUGGGCCGAUACUGACGCUGAGGAGCGAAAGCGUGGGGAGCGAACAGGAUUAGAUACCCUGGUAGUCCACGCCGUAAACGUUGGGCGCUAGGUGUGGGGACUGUUUCCACGGUUUCCGUGCCGUAGCUAACGCAUUAAGCGCCCCGCCUGGGGAGUACGGCCGCAAGGCUAAAACUGAAAGGAAUUGACGG
RNAcentral lists this ribosomal RNA (584 nucleotides) under uncultured bacterium. Its description in RNAcentral is "bacterial SSU rRNA". It matches the Rfam family "Bacterial small subunit ribosomal RNA", at positions 335 to 916 of the family's 1533-position model. The record is from RNAcentral.